UAGAAGGUGGUGUAAUGGAAGCACUAGAAGUUUUGAUCUUCUAAGGUGAGGUUCAAGUCCUCUCUUUCUAA
Molecule: transfer RNA, 71 nt
Filed under: Cynopoecilus melanotaenia
Lineage: Eukaryota; Metazoa; Chordata; Actinopteri; Cyprinodontiformes; Rivulidae
Description: tRNA-Gln
Rfam family: tRNA
About the family: Transfer RNA (tRNA) molecules are approximately 80 nucleotides in length. Their secondary structure includes four short double-helical elements and three loops (D, anti-codon, and T loops). Further hydrogen bonds mediate the characteristic L-shaped molecular structure. tRNAs have two regions of fundamental functional importance: the anti-codon, which is responsible for specific mRNA codon recognition, and the 3' end, to which the tRNAs corresponding amino acid is attached (by aminoacyl-tRNA synthetases). tRNAs cope with the degeneracy of the genetic code in two manners: having more than one tRNA (with a specific anti-codon) for a particular amino acid; and 'wobble' base-pairing, i.e. permitting non-standard base-pairing at the 3rd anti-codon position.
Source: RNAcentral